GGGCGCGUAGCUCAGUUGGUCAGAGCAAUUGCCUUACAAGCAAUAGGCCAGGGGUUCGAGUCCCUUCGCGCCCACCG
This 77-nucleotide transfer RNA is filed under the name Nocardiopsis alba ATCC BAA-2165. Its description in RNAcentral is "tRNA-Val". It matches the Rfam family "tRNA". From Rfam's summary of the family: Transfer RNA (tRNA) molecules are approximately 80 nucleotides in length. Their secondary structure includes four short double-helical elements and three loops (D, anti-codon, and T loops). Lineage: Bacteria; Bacillati; Actinomycetota; Actinomycetes; Streptosporangiales; Nocardiopsidaceae. The record is from RNAcentral.